GAUGAACGCUGGCGGCGUGCCUAAUACAUGCAAGUCGAGCGAACGGACGAGAAGCUUGCUUCUCUCAUGUUAGCGGCGGACGGGUGAGUAACACGUGUAUCACCUACCUAUAAUACUGGGAUAACUUCGGGAAACCGGCGCUUAUACCGGAUAAUAUUUUGAACCGCAUGGUUCAAAAGUGAAAGACGGUCUUGCUGUCUCUUCUAGAUGGUUCCGCGCUGCAUUAGCUAGUUGGUAAGGUCACGGCUUACCAAGGCAACGAUGCAUAGCCGACCUGAGAGGGUGAUCGGCCACACUGGAAGUGAGACACGGUCCAGGCUCCUACGGGAGGCAGCAGUAGGGAAUCUUACGCAAUGGGCGGAAGCCUGGCGGAGCAACGCCGCGUGAGUGAUGAAGGUCUUCGGAUCGUAAAACUCUGUUAUUAGGGAAGAACAGAUGUGUAAGUAGCUGUGCACAGCUUGACGGUACCGAAUCAGAAAGCAACGGCUAACUACGUG
This 497-nucleotide ribosomal RNA is filed under the name uncultured bacterium. RNAcentral describes it as "partial 16S ribosomal RNA". It matches the Rfam family "Bacterial small subunit ribosomal RNA", at positions 28 to 507 of the family's 1533-position model. The record is from RNAcentral.